ACGUGACCGGCACGCGCGCCCAGGAAGACUACGGCAGCCCCUUGAUCCAGCAAUCCGACCCCGAGUCGGACAUCUUCGGCUCCGCAGCCCGACCCCGAGUCGGCAGCCCCUUGAUCCAGCAAUCCGACCCCGAGUCGGACAUCUUCGGCUCCGCAGCCCGACCCUGAGUCGGACAUCUCUCGACAACGACAGGCUAUUCCCCAGAGGCACGCCGCAGCCUCCUGCUCCACUACUCCCUGCAACGGUUGUAUCUGGCGCUGCUCCACGAUCCCCUGUAACAGCCGUACAAGGCGGAGCUCCACUAUGCCCUGUCAUGGCCGUACCCAACGCUGCCCCACGACGCCCUGUAACGGCCGUGUCAGUGGCAGCUCCAUCGUGCCCCACGAUGACGAACCCCCCUGAAA
Molecule: long non-coding RNA, 404 nt
Filed under: Phoenix dactylifera (date palm)
Lineage: Eukaryota; Viridiplantae; Streptophyta; Magnoliopsida; Arecales; Arecaceae
Description: long non-coding RNA (PDAC_LNC020824)
Source: RNAcentral